This 1018-nucleotide long non-coding RNA is filed under the name Marmota monax (woodchuck). Lineage: Eukaryota; Metazoa; Chordata; Mammalia; Rodentia; Sciuridae. The record is from RNAcentral.
UUUUUUUUUUCUUCCAGUGCGGAGACAGGGCGAGUGCUAUUCACUGAGCUACACCUCUAGCCCUGGAUUUGUGCUCCCAUGGUGUAUUCAUUCUCUUGGUUUCACCCGGAAGUGACUUCGGCUUCCAUGUCUGUGUUGCUGAGGUCUGGGAGCCCCUUGGCUGCUACUCUUUAUUCCCUUCUUUGCUUCCAGCUUCUCCGGCCUUGGGUUUGGAGGCAUUCCUUGUGAAUAGCACUGAACUGAAUUCCUGAGACAUCUGGCCUGACACGUGUUUUCAUGGGACUGUCAUCUUUCUUCUGUCCCCGUGGUCUCAGCUGGGGGUGAAGGUGCGGUCCCCUCCUCUGUCUGCUGCUUCCCCUUUGGUGUCUGCAGUCUGACUGUGAACCUGAACCUCGAUGCACGCAUCACCUUUCCCUUCCAUCCUGGCAAUUUGUGGACGUUUACUGGGGCUUCAGGACUGAGCCUUGGUGUGUUUUAACCCUUGGAGGGAACCCCCAUCCAUGGCCCCUCUACCUGCUCCUCUCUGUGCUCUCCUCCCCCUCCUGGAACCCUGGCUCCCUGUCCCCAAGGUGCUCUCCACCUUCCCCGACCGCUCCCCACACCCAUGCCCCGUUUCUGCUGCAUGUCGUUCAUGACGGGUUCGCCGCGUCCUGUCUGGUGAACGUGCAUCCGUUGGUAUGUUACCAGUAUUAUACUCGAUAUGUUAUAUUAUUUCUGAGAGCAUAUAUAAUUGUUUAUUGUUAUUUUAUUGUCCAAAUGUGCCUCCCUGUGUACACAUUCAUUUCAUUACAUGAGAACUCUGAUUCUGUGUUCUGUGUCUGAUGUCUAAACUCUGGGGGCUUCGCAGCUCUGUGGGCUGUCUCUGGCUCCGGUUGAUCUUAUUUAGGACACUUUCCUAUGGAUUUGGGUUUUUUCUUGGGAAAUGUUCAUUUCCUUUAUUUUUCACCUGGCAGGGCUCCUCUGAGGUUUGCACUGGAGCCGAUCUUCCAGAGGGCCUGCAUCGCUUCUGAAAGUCUCC